RNAcentral lists this ribosomal RNA (253 nucleotides) under uncultured bacterium. RNAcentral's name for it is "partial 16S ribosomal RNA". It matches the Rfam family "Bacterial small subunit ribosomal RNA", at positions 524 to 776 of the family's 1533-position model. The record is from RNAcentral.
UACGGAGGGUGCAAGCGUUAAUCGGAAUUACUGGGCGUAAAGCGCGCGCAGGGGGUCAAUUAAGUCAGAUGUGAAAGCCCCGGGCUUAACCUGGGAAUGGCAUCUGAAACUGGUUGGCUAGAGUGCUGUAGAGGAAGGUAGAAUUCCCUGUGUAGCGGUGAAAUGCGUAGAGAUGUGGAGGAAUACCAGUGGCGAAGGCGACUUUCUGGACUUAAACUGACACUGAGGUACGAAAGCGUGGGUAGCAAACAGG